RNAcentral lists this ribosomal RNA (508 nucleotides) under uncultured bacterium. RNAcentral describes it as "partial 16S ribosomal RNA". It matches the Rfam family "Bacterial small subunit ribosomal RNA", at positions 28 to 523 of the family's 1533-position model. The record is from RNAcentral.
GAUGAACGCUAGCUACAGGCUUAACACAUGCAAGUCGAGGGGAAACGAUAGAGAAAGCUUGCUUUUUCUAGGCGUCGACCGGCGCACGGGUGAGUAACGCGUAUCCAACCUGCCCAUCACUUGGGGAUAACCUUGCGAAAGUAAGACUAAUACCCAAUGAUAUCUCUAGAAGACAUCUGAAGGAGAUUAAAGAUUUAUCGGUGAUGGAUGGGGAUGCGUCUGAUUAGCUUGUUGGCGGGGUAACGGCCCACCAAGGCGACGAUCAGUAGGGGUUCAGAGAGGAAGGUCCCCCACAUUGGAACUGAGACACGGUCCAAACUCCUACGGGAGGCAGCAGUGGGGAAUAGUGGUCAAGGGGCGAGAGCCUGAACCAGCCAAGUAGCGUGCAGGAUGACGGCCCUAUGGGUUGUAAACUGCUUUUAUAAGGGAAUAAAGUGAGCCUCGUGAGGCUUUUUGCAUGUACCUUAUGAAUAAGGACCGGCUAAUUCCGUGCCAGCAGCCGCGGUAA